CAGCCGCCGCGGUAAUACGAAGGGGGCUAGCGUUGCUCGGAAUGACUGGGCGUAAAGGGCGCGUAGGCGGCGAUCAAAGUCAGGCGUGAAAUUCCUGGGCUCAACCUGGGGGCUGCGCUUGAUACUUGGUUGCUUGAGUGGGGAAGAGGGUCGUGGAAUUCCCAGUGUAGAGGUGAAAUUCGUAGAUAUUGGGAAGAACACCGGUGGCGAAGGCGGCGACCUGGUCCUUGACUGACGCUGAGGCGCGAAAGCGUGGGGAGCAAACAGGAUUAGAUACCCGAGUAGUCCCUGUCUCUUAUAC
RNAcentral lists this ribosomal RNA (301 nucleotides) under uncultured bacterium. RNAcentral describes it as "partial 16S ribosomal RNA". It matches the Rfam family "Bacterial small subunit ribosomal RNA", at positions 509 to 807 of the family's 1533-position model. The record is from RNAcentral.